Molecule: ribosomal RNA, 504 nt
Filed under: uncultured bacterium
Lineage: Bacteria
Description: partial 16S ribosomal RNA
Rfam family: Bacterial small subunit ribosomal RNA
Source: RNAcentral
AGUGAACGCUGGCGGCAGGCCUAACACAUGCAAGUCGAACGGCAGCACAGGAGAGCUUGCUCUCUGGGUGGCGAGUGGCGGACGGGUGAGGAAUAUAUCGGAAUCUACCCUUUCGUGGGGGAUAACGUAGGGAAACUUACGCUAAUACCGCAUACGAACUGAGGUUGAAAGCGGCGGACCGCAAGGCGUCGCGCGGAUGGAUGAGCCGAUAUCCGAUUAGCUAGUUGGCGGGGUAAAAGCCCACCAAGGCGACGAUCGGUAGCUGGUCUGAGAGGAUGAUCAGCCACACUGGAACUGAGACACGGUCCAGACUCCUACGGGAGGCGGCAGUGGGGAAUUUUGGACAAUGGGGGCAACCCUGAUCCAGCAAUGCCGCGUGAGUGAAGAAGGCCUUCGGGUUGUAAAGCUCUUUUGUCAGGGAAGAAACACCGGCUCUAACACAGUCCGGGAAUGACGGUACCUGAAGAAUAAGCACCGGCUAACUUCGUGCCAGCCGCCGUGUAA